GAAAAAUGUCUACUCUGUCCUGUAAAGUUAGAGAUAUUUUUGUUGUUUAAUCUUUGACACUUGUAUGGAAACACUACAUCUUGAUAACCAAAUUCCGGAAACUGCUGUCGAUGCUAAUAUACAUACCUACCCACACAAUAAAGGUCUAGUAGCCCUUUUAAGUAACUUGAAUAUUUAAUAUCCAUUACCUCAGUGUUAAUCAUUUGAAAAUAACCACGUAUAUCUAUAAUACUAAAAUUACGAGGUCCAAUUUGUCAGCCGUCAUCACGUAAAAACGACGAAUCAAAGAAUUCAACUUUAUAUACAACUAAUAUAGUACAAAGGUGUAGAUUAAAAAUUACACCACUCCAGGCCCUUUUGUUUUCCACGUAAUUAAUAUCGCCAAUAAUUAGGAAGUUCCGGGUCGAGUCCGAUACCGAUACCAAUAGUAUAAUCACCUGUUACCUAUUACCUUAUCUGUACGUUCCGCAUCUGACAGGCGCACCACCAAACGGUGUAUUUAGGAUUAAUAUGCUAUAUAAACGGGUCAUAAUCACAGGGUUGACACUACUAAAUUGUCAAAUUGUUACCUAUUGUAGUAUUUUAAUCCGUAAGACUUUCUAAGAUAACAAUACGAAUACUAAAAAUUUGGACUAAAAUAAGUUUCAAUUUGUUAGCGGGCAUGACGUAAAACAGCGAAUCAAAGAAUUCAACUUUAUUUAUAACUAAUAUAGGACAAUGCUGUUGAUUAAAAAAUACUCCAUUCCAGGACCUUUUGUUUUCCAAAUAUUUAAUAUUACCAAUAAUUGAUAAGUUCCAGUUCGACGGGUUCAAACAAAAAGAUUUGAAAGCAGAGAAAAUUGUGUAUCUUAUAAUCGGCAUGACUUUAUCAGAUGACAGUACUAAUACUAAGAUAAGGCUUGCGCA
Molecule: long non-coding RNA, 906 nt
Filed under: Mytilus galloprovincialis (Mediterranean mussel)
Lineage: Eukaryota; Metazoa; Mollusca; Bivalvia; Mytilida; Mytilidae
Source: RNAcentral